AAAAUAACAAUCAGUCUCUUGUAACCUUCACCGGGAUGCAGUUUCCUUACAGUAUAUCGUAUGAAAGUGAACAGGAGUAUACAGUUGCUUUACCGAGAAACGAUACAUUAAAUGAUACUUCAGGUGAUAAAUUCUUUAGGGGGGAGUUUGGAAAUAUUUCACAUAACGAUUGUACUUACAAAGACAAAGAAUCAGCUACAAAAGCAAGGGAAAUAGUUACUUGCAUACAGUCUAAGUCUUAUGCGGUGCAGAAAGAACAGCUUGAUCCAAUGCUACGUGGAGUGGCAGAGUGGGAAAUUCCAUGGGAAGAUCUGCAUGUUGGUGAACGUAUUGGUAUUGGGUCAUAUGGCGAGGUAUACCGUGCAGAAUGG
This 371-nucleotide unclassified non-coding RNA is filed under the name Hevea brasiliensis (rubber tree). Lineage: Eukaryota; Viridiplantae; Streptophyta; Magnoliopsida; Malpighiales; Euphorbiaceae. The record is from RNAcentral.